UACCGCCUGCGGUGUUGGCUUGCUUCCGCCAAUCCCUUAGAACCUAUAUUUCAGACAGGGGAUUGUCUUGCAGGCACCGUUGUGCAGGUCCCGGGCCACGCCCGGGAAAGCCUUAAGGUGUUGCAGCAGUCCCCACUUGAGCCAUUCGGUUCAAGGUACCCCGGGAGCAUGCGGCACCCGCGGGUGGUGC
RNAcentral lists this non-coding RNA (190 nucleotides) under Gammaproteobacteria bacterium. RNAcentral's name for it is "6S RNA". It matches the Rfam family "6S / SsrS RNA". From Rfam's summary of the family: E. coli 6S RNA was the first non coding RNA to be sequenced, but its function was unknown until recently. It consists of 184 nucleotides that fold into an extended hairpin structure with a large single-stranded internal bulge. Lineage: Bacteria; Pseudomonadati; Pseudomonadota; Gammaproteobacteria. RNAcentral also lists the same sequence under 1 other name. The record is from RNAcentral.